AUACCGGAACUAUAAGGUCAAGCUCCAUAAAGGGUGGCUAGAUCACCGUAGAGACAUAGAAGAGGAGCUUGUUCUUUGGAUCCAGGAUUGUCCUCUGAGUAUGUGGGAGGGGAUGGCCAGGCAUUGGAGGGGCCAAGAGUUCUAGAUUUAAUUUGUAACAUAUGAAUUUUUCAUUACAUUGACAAUUGUAUUUGAUUUUUAACUUAUGUGAUUUAAAUACUUUUUAGACUGUAUCUCGUCAGAACCGUG
RNAcentral lists this long non-coding RNA (249 nucleotides) under Elaeis guineensis (African oil palm). RNAcentral's name for it is "long non-coding RNA (EGUI_LNC024776)". The record is from RNAcentral. Lineage: Eukaryota; Viridiplantae; Streptophyta; Magnoliopsida; Arecales; Arecaceae.